Long non-coding RNA from Bradysia coprophila, 323 nucleotides. The record is from RefSeq and is a predicted model, not a curated record. Lineage: Eukaryota; Metazoa; Arthropoda; Insecta; Diptera; Sciaridae.
CUUUCUAAAAAUUAGCUGGAAACGUUUGAAAAAUAAUUUUUGUCCAUAUUUUGAUCAUAUUUAAUUAAAUAUCUUUGUACAAAAUGGUCUCGAAAGUGAUUGCUUUGUUGCUGAUUUCGUUGGUAUUACUUCAGUGUGCAACAGUUAUAGAAUGUAUUUUGGAGCAGUGCUUCUAUGAAUUGGGUGUCUGUGUCUCGGCGGCGGCAUGCGAAGGAAUAGGAUUUGAUAACAGGCGAAGAUUCAUUUACGGGGAAUGUGAUAGGCCCAGACCAGGAUUUAUUUGUUGCAUCAAUUUUUGAUUUUUUUUAUUUUAAAUAAAUUUA